Molecule: ribosomal RNA, 541 nt
Filed under: uncultured Ilumatobacter sp.
Lineage: Bacteria; Bacillati; Actinomycetota; Acidimicrobiia; Acidimicrobiales; Ilumatobacteraceae
Description: bacterial SSU rRNA
Rfam family: Bacterial small subunit ribosomal RNA
Source: RNAcentral
AAUUGGCUCACUGGCGCAGCCUGAUGCACCACGCCGCGUGCGGGAAGACGGCCCUAGGGUUGUAAACCGCUUUCAGCAGGGAAGAAACUGACGGUACCUGCAGAAGAAGGUGCGGCCAACUACGUGCCAGCAGCCGCGGUGACACGUAGGCACCAAGCGUUAUCCGGAUUUAUUGGGCGUAAAGAGCUCGUAGGCGGUUUAGUAAGUCGGGUGUGAAAACUCUGGGCUUAACCCAGAGAGGCCACCCGAUACUGCUAUGACUUGAGUACGGUGGGGGAGCGGGGAAUUCCUGGUGUAGCGGUGAAAUGCGCAAAUAUCAGGAAAAACACCGGUGGCGAAGGCGCCGCUCUGGGCCGAAACUGACCCUAAGGAGCGAAAGCGUGGGUAGCAAACAGGAUUAGAUACCCUGGUAGUCCACGCCGUAAACGUUGGGCACUAGGUGUGGGUCUCAUCUAACGAGAUCCGCGCCGUAGCUAACGCAUUAUUUGCCCCGCCUGGGGAGUACGGUCGCAAAACAAAAACUCAUAGGAAUUGACGGAGG